Molecule: ribosomal RNA, 433 nt
Filed under: uncultured bacterium
Lineage: Bacteria
Description: partial 16S ribosomal RNA
Rfam family: Bacterial small subunit ribosomal RNA
Source: RNAcentral
AACGAACGCUGGCGGCAUGCCUAACACAUGCAAGUCGAACGAGACCUUCGGGUCUAGUGGCGCACGGGUGCGUAACGCGUGGGAACCUGCCCUUAGGUUCGGAAUAACUCCCCGAAAGGGGUGCUAAUACCGGAUAAUGUCUUCGGACCAAAGAUUUAUCGCCUUUGGAUGGGUCGGCGUUGGAUUAGCUAGUUGGUAGGGUAAAAGCGUACCAAGGCGACGAUCCAUAGCUGGUCUGAGAGGAUGAUCAGCCACACUGGGACUGAGACACGGCCCAGACUCCUACGGGAGGCAGCAGUGGGGAAUAUUGGAAAAUGGGCGAAAGCAUGAUCCAGCAAUGCCGGGUGAGUGAUGAAGUCCUUAGGGUUGUAAAGCUCUUUUACCCGGGAUGAUAAUGACAGUACCGGGAGAAUAAGCUCCGGCUAACUCCGUG